AUUGAACGCUGGCGGCAGGCCUAACACAUGCAAGUCGAGCGGAGAGAGGUAGCUUGCUACUGAUCUUAGCGGCGGACGGGUGAGUAAUGCUUAGGAAUCUGCCUAUUAGUGGGGGACAACAUUUCGAAAGGAAUGCUAAUACCGCAUACGUCCUACGGGAGAAAGCAGGGGAUCUUCGGACCUUGCGCUAAUAGAUGAGCCUAAGUCGGAUUAGCUAGUUGGUGGGGUAAAGGCCUACCAAGGCGACGAUCUGUAGCGGGUCUGAGAGGAUGAUCCGCCACACUGGGACUGAGACACGGCCCAGACUCCUACGGGAGGCAGCAGUGGGGAAUAUUGGACAAUGGGCGCAAGCCUGAUCCAGCCAUGCCGUGUGUGUGAAGAAGGCCUUAUGGUUGUAAAGCACUUUAAGCGAGGAGGAGGCUACUUUAGUUAAUACCUAGAGAUAGUGGACGUUACUCGCAGAAUAAGCACCGGCUAACUCUGUGCCAGCAGCCGCGGUAA
RNAcentral lists this ribosomal RNA (501 nucleotides) under uncultured bacterium. RNAcentral describes it as "partial 16S ribosomal RNA". It matches the Rfam family "Bacterial small subunit ribosomal RNA", at positions 30 to 523 of the family's 1533-position model. The record is from RNAcentral.